This is a long non-coding RNA of Carassius gibelio (silver crucian carp), 624 nucleotides long. RefSeq lists it as uncharacterized. The record is from RefSeq and is a predicted model, not a curated record. The transcript has 3 exons. NCBI's taxonomy places the organism in Eukaryota, Metazoa, Chordata, Actinopteri, Cypriniformes, Cyprinidae.
UUUCCUUCAAAUAGGCUAAUGCAAUAAAAAGUUAUUAGCAUUUUAAAAAGUGUAAUUACUCAUGGUUAAUGAAUGGUUUAUUACUCUUGACCAAUAGGUGGCGCUGUCACCAAAUUUAUGUGGCAUGGUCAGUGUGAGGUGGCGAUGACACAUACAAAAUUUGGUGCAAAUAUGUCAAAGCGUUGCAGAGAUACAGCCUCAAAUGCAUUUUGGCACCCUUCCAGCAAAUUCGUUGAUGCGCUAAAUGAGAACUGUUUCGUAUAUCGACACGAAAUCCAUAACUUUUUGCCAGCAUGGUCUGAAGAUGAUUCACGUCAAAUUUGGUGAAAAUUGGACUAACGGUCUAGGAGGAGUUCGAAAAAGUAGGUUUUCAACAUUAAGAAAAAUGGCGGACAGGAAGUAAGGCCAAUUUUCACAUUAUUGGUAUCAAUACUCUCGGCAUGACCCACAGAAUAUAGCGAGACCAUUUUAAUUUUAAUAGACUAAUUUAUUCAAAAGUUAUUAGCGUUUAUGUGAUAUUUCAUUAUAACUAUUGGCCACAAGGUGGCGCUGCCACCAAACUUUUUGAGUACCUUCAGGGCAUGGAGCCGAAUAUUUUUGUAAUUAUUUGUGAAACGAUACGAU